Molecule: unclassified non-coding RNA, 200 nt
Filed under: uncultured Preussia
Lineage: Eukaryota; Fungi; Ascomycota; Dothideomycetes; Pleosporales; Sporormiaceae
Description: sequence contains ITS2
Source: RNAcentral
UUAAGUUCAGCGGGUAUCCCUACCUGAUCCGAGGUCAAAAUUGUGAAAUUGCUCCUGGGAGCCAGCACAAGAGGGCCACGAGUUCGCGUUUCUGCUGCGCUCGAAGCCAACGUACCGGCCGCCAAUGAAUUUGGGGCGAGUCCGCGCCCGGGGGCGGCGGACAGUCACCCAUCACAAGCUGAGCUUGAAGGUUUAAAUGA